This 867-nucleotide ribosomal RNA is filed under the name uncultured archaeon. Its description in RNAcentral is "bacterial SSU rRNA". It matches the Rfam family "Archaeal small subunit ribosomal RNA", at positions 27 to 900 of the family's 1478-position model. The record is from RNAcentral.
CUGCUAUCGGAUUGAUACUAAGCCAUGCGAGUCAUUGUAGCAAUACAAGGCAUACGGCUCAGUAACGCGUAGUCAACCUAACCUAUGGACGGGAAUAACCUCGGGAAACUGAGAAUAAUGCCCGAUAGAACAUUAUGCCUGGAAUGGUUUAUGUUCCAAAUGAUUUAUCGCCGUAGGAUGGGACUGCGGCCUAUCAGUUUGUUGGUGAGGUAAUGGCCCACCAAGACUAUUACAGGUACGGGCUCUGAGAGGAGUAGCCCGGAGAUGGGUACUGAGACACGGACCCAGGCCCUAUGGGGCGCAGCAGGCGAGAAAACUUUGCAAUGUGCGAAAGCACGACAAGGUUAAUCCGAGUGGUUUCUGCUAAAGGAACCUUUUGUCAGUCCUAGAAACACCGAUGAAUAAGGGGUGGGCAAGUUCUGGUGUCAGCCGCCGCGGUAAAACCAGCACCUCAAGUGGUCAGGAUGAUUAUUGGGCCUAAAGCAUCCGUAGCCGGCUCUGUAAGUUUUCGGUUAAAUCUGUACGCUCAACGUACAGGCUGCCGGGAAUACUGCAAAGCUAGGGAGUGGGAGAGGUAGACGGUACUCGGUAGGAAGGGGUAAAAUCCUUUGAUCUAUUGAUGACCACCUGUGGCGAAGGCGGUCUACCAGAACACGUCCGACGGUGAGGGAUGAAAGCUGGGGGAGCAAACCGGAUUAGAUACCCGGGUAGUCCCAGCUGUAAACCAUGCAAACUCAGUGAUGCAUUGGCUUGUGGCCAAUGCAGUGCUGCAGGGAAGCCGUUAAGUUUGCCGCCUGGGAAGUACGUACGCAAGUAUGAAACUUAAAGGAAUUGGCGGGGGAGCACCACAAGGGGUGAAGCCUGCGG